UACAAGCACACUCUCCGAGCCUGCCGAGCCUAACAGGAGAUCCUCACGGCUCAAGGCCACUGGGUGCCGCCGGAAACGGCGGCGCCUCCCUUUCGGAAAGGAGAACAAUUAUGACUAAC
Molecule: non-coding RNA, 119 nt
Filed under: Geobacter pickeringii
Lineage: Bacteria; Pseudomonadati; Thermodesulfobacteriota; Desulfuromonadia; Geobacterales; Geobacteraceae
Description: MoCo sequence
Rfam family: Molybdenum/Tungsten riboswitch aptamer (Moco RNA motif)
Source: Rfam by way of RNAcentral